Long non-coding RNA from Mastomys coucha (southern multimammate mouse), 837 nucleotides. RefSeq lists it as uncharacterized. The transcript is spliced from 2 exons. Lineage: Eukaryota; Metazoa; Chordata; Mammalia; Rodentia; Muridae. The record is from RefSeq and is a predicted model, not a curated record.
AGCUUCAGGAAUCAAAGGAGACUGGCCUCCAGUGACAGGCAUUUCAAGACCAGUGGAGGGAUACAGGGAAGAGACAUCUCUUCUUGGUAGCUUUCCUCUUCUCCAUGAGGACUCUGACCUCUUAGUUUGUCCAUGAAAACAAAGACCAAAAACCUCAGAGAUGAUGAGGCCCUAGGAGCAGGCCAGAGAUGUGGGAAGCAGCCAGGGUGUCUGGAGUGCCUUGGCUGAGUGAGCUCUUUCCAAAAGAGGUCCUGCAGAGGCAUGCAGAGCUGACUCAAGGCUGUGGCUUUGACACACUUAGUCCUUCAAUUUGGCUUAUGAUCUUUCUGAUAGAUACUAUUUUAAACUGACUGAUCGUCUACAUGGGCUCUUAUUUGUAGAUGUUGCUCAAAUCCCAGCUACAUCAGCCAAAGAUGACACCUACCGGCACACAUUCUUGCAGUUCAUUUUGUGUGCAGUUCUGGAACUCUCUACGUAAACCAGGCUGGCUUUCAAUUCACAGAGAUCCACCUGCCUCCUGCUUCUACCUCUCAAGUGCUGGAGUUAAAGGUGUGUGCCGCCAUGCUUGGCUCUACCAGCACUUCUUAAGAAUGACAGUGGAAGCCACAUGGUGUCCAGAAUGACUGCAUACCCAGCAGAACAUCCUGGAGCCGUAUAGACAUGCAAAAGGGUCCCUCUGCCAUUUCCACUGAAGGUGGGUAUGAUCUGCUUCUCAAGAAAUUGAUUGGGGAUGAAAUUCUUAUGAAUCAGGCCACUUUUCAACUGCCCUUGGAGAGGAGAUACUAUUUUAAGGCAUCCUUUGUAUUUGUCUCAAGUAAAGAUGAAAAGCCUACCUAA